AUAAUAAAGAUCUUACUUAUCUUAAUUAUUUUUUUUGUGAGAAAAAUCUUUUUAUUUGGUAUAAUUAAAGAAAAAUUUCUUUUUGUUAUAGUAUAUUAGUACUGUCAAGGAAUUGAUGAAAUAAAUUAAAUAUUAAUUUUAAAUAAGUAUGCUUGUUUUGCAGUACCUUUUGUAUCAGGGUUGAUCAAUUAAUCUAAUUUAUAUUUAUAUCUCGAUUUUAGAAGAGCUAAUUUGUUAUUUUAGUUAAUGUGGAAUAAUUAUUAAUAAUAUAAAUUAGUGAAGAAAUUUUAUUCGAUUCUAAAGGUAUCUAGUUUUUUAAGAAAUAAAUUUAAUUUAACCUCAGCACUUAAUUUUUAUCUUUUUAUAUAAAUUAUAUGCUGGGAUAAAAAUUAUAGGGGACAAGCUCUAUUUUUUUCUAUAAAAUUUUGUAUUAAUAUAUUUAUGUAGGAUUAAAAAUAUCCACCAUUAGUAAAUAUAUUAUAAUUUAUAUUUAUCAUUAAUUAAUUUUAUUUUUUUUAGUAUAUUAUUAAAAUAUCAAAAUAAAUUAAAUAUUUUGAGGAAUAAUGAUUAAAUUAGUAUAAUUUAUUGUUUAUUAUAUUAUUAUUUUUAUGAUAAAAUAAGGAACUCGGCAAUAUAUAGUUCUCGCCUGUUUAUCAAAAACAUGUCCUUUUGAAUUUAAUUGAAGGUCUGACCUGCCCAGUGAGGAGUUCAACGGCCGCGGUAUAUUGACCGUGCAAAGGUAGCAUAAUCAUUAGUCUUUUAAUAGAGGGCUGGAAUGAAAGGUUUAACGAGGAACUGACUGUCUCAUUUUAUUUGUUUUAAAAUUUAAUUUUUUAGUUAAAAAGCUAAAAUUUUAUUGGAAGACGAGAAGACCCUAUAGAUCUUUACAUAAAAUUUUAUAAAUAUUUAUAUAUUAAUAUUUUUAUACUUUUUUAUGUUUUGUUGGGGUGACAAAAAUAUAUAAUUAACUUUUUUAUUUAAAUUACAUUGAUUUAUGAAUAUUAGAUCCAUUAUUAUUGAUUAUUAGACUAAGUUACCUUAGGGAUAACAGCGUAAUCCUCCUCCAGAGUUCAUAUUUACAGGAUGGGCUUGCGACCUCGAUGUUGGAUUAAGAUAAUAAUUAGGUGUAGCAGCUUAAUUUAUAGGUCUGUUCGACCUUUAAACUCUUACAUA
RNAcentral lists this ribosomal RNA (1173 nucleotides) under Libellula saturata (flame skimmer). Its description in RNAcentral is "partial 16S ribosomal RNA". The record is from RNAcentral. Lineage: Eukaryota; Metazoa; Arthropoda; Insecta; Odonata; Libellulidae.